This is a long non-coding RNA of Herpailurus yagouaroundi (jaguarundi), 1400 nucleotides long. RefSeq lists it as uncharacterized. The record is from RefSeq and is a predicted model, not a curated record. The transcript has 7 exons. Lineage: Eukaryota; Metazoa; Chordata; Mammalia; Carnivora; Felidae.
CCACAGGCUUAGCAGAAGCUACACCUGGAUUCCUGCCCCUGAACGGAUGUAACCAGCAUUUGGGCUUUUCUAUUCAGUUACCUCCUUGUGGUCUGCAUGUAGGCUGUGAUUCUGUGGGGCUCUGCUGGAUCAGCUUGCUUGAUUCCAGGCCCAGGUCUGUUGUAUGUAUCUCCUCAUCCUGGGACCAUUGACUACGCAAGAUUUGAUCUUCUCACGGUCGAUGGCAGAAGUUCAAGAGAUCAAGCAGAGUCACAGAGGCACAUUUAAAGCCUCUGCUUCUAUUGCAUCUACUCACACUACUGGCCAUACAUAGCAAGUCACAUGACCAAGACUGACAACCACGGGUCAGAAAGAACACUCUACCCACAGUGAGAAAAUGUCAAAGCCUCAGGCCACGGGCCCACUUCUCUGCCAGAAGGAGACGACCAUUCAGGCUGACCCGGCACAAAUUCUGGGACCAGAAAGGAAAAAGGGUCUUCAGAAUAGAAGUUUUGCUGCAGCAGCUUAAACUAUCCCAGGCCUUUUUGGUCUGAUCUUGUGCUAGUUUGGCAUCAUUAACCGCCAGUCUGGAGUUUGGAUGGGAACAACCACAAGUGGCCCCUCAGUGUCUCUUGGGAUUUCCAAGAGAAUGGAAAUGUCACAUGGUUGAUGCCUUUCCAGCUCCGUGUGGAUAAGUACAAAGAGCUGCUUCCAACCAUCUCUUCAUUUCCUCCAGUCCUUCAGUCCCCAUCAGUGUCUCUGUGCCCCGGGAGACUGAAAACUCCGAGAGGUCAAAGAUCACUCUUGUUUUGUGCACGCCUUGUCUCCAGUACCUGGCACAAUGCUCUCUACACAAAACCUAAAGCUGCAUCAGAGUGCUUUUUAAGAUGAUACUUCAGACACCCACCAACAAUCAAUAAGAGACAGCAUGAGAGGCAAGACCUAUUUAUUAUUCCUUUUGUGCCCUUUUUUUGUGCCUUCCAUAAGCAAUACUGUAUACCAAGAAAGAAGAACCUUCUCAGAGACAGAGAGACAACAAACUUUUGAACUUCUUCAAAAUCUGCCACAGAAGACAAAGUCAUCCCCAUGGGAUUAUCACAGGGCCACGAGCCACCGGCCAUACUAAGACAUGGAUUCUUAGAAUCCUUCCAAAAACAGCAAAAGGAAAAUCACAAAACCCCAGGUCUGGCCUGCCUUGUGGCACCGUGUUGGCAGUUAGCAUGAUAUUAAAAGUGUCCUGAUGCUCUUCUGGGUACAAAAGCUCAGCUUUGCUUCAUGGUACCAAGUAGUUCUGAGGCUCAGAUAUGUAUUUUUCUGUCUUUAAGUUGAAGCAGUAAGAAAAAGAAAGCAAGCUGGUAGCAGAGAUUAGGGCGGAAGCUAGGGUAUGUGGAGCGAGUCCAGGGAGGGGCUGAGGACGGCAG